AGAGUUUGAUCAUGGCUCAGAAUGAACGUUGGCGGCGUGGAUUAGGCAUGCAAGUCGCGCGUGUACCCGCAAGGGGAAAGCGGCGAAAGGGAGAGGAAUACACGGAUACCAACCCUCGGGUCGGGAAUAGCCACGGGAAACUGUGGGUAAUGCCCGAUAACGUCUCCGGACCAAAGGUGUGACUCCGCCUGAGGACGGGUCCGUGUCCCAUCAGCUAGUUGGCGAGGUAAUGGCUCACCAAGGCGAUAACGGGUACUGGGUGUGAGAGCACGACCCAGCUCACUGGGACUGAGAACUGCCCAGACACCUACGGGUGGCUGCAGUCGAGAAUCUUCGGCAAUGAGCGCAAGCUUGACCGAGCGACGCCGCGUGUGGGAUGAAGGCCUUCGGGUUGUAAACCACUGUCGUUGAGAAGGAAAUGGGCGAGGGUACUCCCUCGUUUUUGACUGACUCGAGGAGGAAGGACGGGCUAAGUUCGUGCCAGCAGCCGCGGUAAUUC
This 499-nucleotide ribosomal RNA is filed under the name uncultured bacterium. Its description in RNAcentral is "bacterial SSU rRNA". It matches the Rfam family "Bacterial small subunit ribosomal RNA", at positions 8 to 526 of the family's 1533-position model. The record is from RNAcentral.